RNAcentral lists this ribosomal RNA (934 nucleotides) under Chytriomyces sp. ARG41. RNAcentral's name for it is "eukaryotic LSU rRNA". It matches the Rfam family "Eukaryotic large subunit ribosomal RNA", at positions 54 to 941 of the family's 3401-position model. The record is from RNAcentral. Lineage: Eukaryota; Fungi; Chytridiomycota; Chytridiomycetes; Chytridiales; Chytriomycetaceae.
AGGAGAAGACCAACAGGGNAUUCCCCUAGUAACGGCGAGUGAAGCGGGAAGAGCUCAAAUUUGAAAUCUCACUGGUUUCCAGUGCGAAUUGUAGUUUCAAGAAGCGUUUUCGGGGACGACUUGGGUCCAAGUCUGUUGGAACGCAGCGCCAGAGAGGGUGAGAGCCCCGUUCGGCCCGAUGUUCGUUCCUGUAUGAUACGUUUUCAAAGAGUCGCAUAGUUUGGGAAUGCUGUGCAAAGUGGGUGGUAAAUAUCAUCUAAAGCUAAAUAUUGGCGAGAGACCGAUAGCGAACAAGUACCGUGAGGGAAAGAUGAAAAGAACUUUGAAAAGAGAGUUAAAUAGUACGUGAAAUUGUCAAAAGGGAAACGCUUGGAACCAGUAUUGGAUCUAGAUUAUCAGCCGCAAGGUGCACUAGUCUAGGUCCGGGUCAGCAUCAGUUUGGUUUGGAGUAAAAAGCCAGUGGAAGGUAGCUUCGGUGUUAUAGCCGCUGGUCAUGCUCUGGACUGGACUGAGGUCUGCAGCCGCCUUGGGGAAUAUGCCGCCUCGAAACACGCAUUGGUAGACAACUUGUUGAUUACUGGUGUUGUGCUAGAGCCCGGUGUAGUACCACUACCGGCUUAGGAUGUUGACGAAAUGGUUCUAAACGACCCGUCUUGAAACACGGACCAAGGAGUCCAACACACAUGCGAGUGUUUGGGUGGCAAACCCGAGCGCGUAAUGAAAGUAAAUGCAGGUGAGAUCCUUCGGGUGCAUCAUCGACCGGUCUGGAUUCUUUUGAAAGAUCUGAGUAAGAGCAUGUUUGUUGGGACCCGAAAGAUGGUGAACUAUGCCUGAAUAGGGUGAAGUCAGAGGAAACUCUGAUGGAAGCUCGUAGCGGUUCUGACGUGCAAAUCGAUCGUCAAAUUUGGGUAUAGGGGCGAAAGACUAUCNACCU